UACGGAGGAUGCGAGCGUUAUCCGGAUUUAUUGGGUUUAAAGGGUGCGUAGGCGGGUUGUUAAGUCAGCGGUAAAAUUGCGGUGCUCAACGCCGUAGAGCCGUUGAAACUGGCGACCUUGAGUGGGCGAGAAGUAUGCGGAAUGCGUGGUGUAGCGGUGAAAUGCAUAGAUAUCACGCAGAACCCCGAUUGCGAAGGCAGCAUACCGGCGCCCUACUGACGCUGAGGCACGAAAGUGCGGGUAUCGAACAGG
RNAcentral lists this ribosomal RNA (252 nucleotides) under uncultured bacterium. Its description in RNAcentral is "partial 16S ribosomal RNA". It matches the Rfam family "Bacterial small subunit ribosomal RNA", at positions 524 to 776 of the family's 1533-position model. The record is from RNAcentral.